RNAcentral lists this ribosomal RNA (426 nucleotides) under uncultured bacterium. RNAcentral describes it as "bacterial SSU rRNA". It matches the Rfam family "Bacterial small subunit ribosomal RNA", at positions 354 to 796 of the family's 1533-position model. The record is from RNAcentral.
GUGAGGAAUUUUCCGCAAUGGGCGAAAGCCUGACGGAGCAAUGCCGCGUGAAGGAUGAAGGCCUAUGGGUUGUAAACUUCUUUUCUCAGAAAAGAAUUAUGACGGUAUCUGAGGAAUAAGCAUCGGCUAACUCUGUGCCAGCAGCCGCGGUAAGACAGAGGAUGAAAGCGUUAUCCGGAAUGAUUGGGCGUAAAGCGUCUGUAGGUUGUUUAAAAAGUAUUCUGUCAAAGAUUAGGGCUUAACCCUAGAUAGUCAGAAUAAACUUUUAAGCUAGAGUUUGGUAGAGGCAGAAGGAAUUCCCGGUGGAGCGGUGAAAUGCGUAGAUAUCGGGAGGAACACCAAAGGCGAAGGCACUCUGCUGGGCCAAUACUAACACUGAGAGACGAAAGCGAGGGGAGCAAAUGGGAUUAGAAACCCCAGUAGUCC